AUUGAACGCUGGCGGCAGGCCUAACACAUGCAAGUCGAACGGUAACAGGAAGCAGCUUGCUGCUUUGCUGACGAGUGGCGGACGGGUGAGUAAUGUCUGGGAAACUGCCCGAUGGAGGGGGAUAACUACUGGAAACGGUAGCUAAUACCGCAUAACGUCGCAAGACCAAAGAGGGGGACCUUAGGGCCUCUUGCCAUCGGAUGUGCCCAGAUGGGAUUAGCUAGUAGGUGGGGUAACGGCUCACCUAGGCGACGGUCCCUAGCUGGUCUGAGAGGAUGACCAGCCACACUGGAACUGAGACACGGUCCAGACUCCUACGGGAGGCAGCAGUGGGGAUAUUGCACAAUGGGCGCAAGCCUGAUGCAGCCAUGCCGCGUGUAUGAAGAAGGCCUUCGGGUUGUAAAGUACUUUCAGCGGGGAGGAAGGGAGUAAAGUUAAUACCUUUGCUCAUUGACGUUACCCGCAGAAGAAGCACCGGCUAACUCCGUG
Molecule: ribosomal RNA, 489 nt
Filed under: uncultured bacterium
Lineage: Bacteria
Description: partial 16S ribosomal RNA
Rfam family: Bacterial small subunit ribosomal RNA
Source: RNAcentral